AUUUCAAUGGAUUUUAGGUUACU
Molecule: small nuclear RNA, 23 nt
Filed under: Arabidopsis thaliana (thale cress)
Lineage: Eukaryota; Viridiplantae; Streptophyta; Magnoliopsida; Brassicales; Brassicaceae
Description: snRNA_13016
Source: RNAcentral